GACGAACGCUGGCGGCGUGCUUAACACAUGCAAGUCGAACGGAAACGCCCUGCUUUUGUGGGGUGCUCGAGUGGCGAACGGGUGAGUAACACGGGAGUAACCUGCCCUGGACUGUGGGAUAACUUCAGGAAACUGGUGCUAAUACCGGAUAGGAGCGCCUGCUGCCUGGUGGGGGUUGGAAAGUUUCGGCGGUUGGGGCUGGACGCGCGGCUUAUCAGCUUGUUGGUGGGGUAGUGGCUUACCAAGGCAUUGACGGGUAGCCGGCAUGAGAGGGUGACCGGCCACAAUGGGCCUGCGAUAGGGCGCAGACUCGUAUGGGAGGCAGCAGUGGCGAACAUUGUACAAUGGGGGGAAGCGUGAUGCAGAAACGCUGCGUGCGGGAUGCGGGCUUUCGCGUUGUAAACCGCUUUCGCCUGUGACGAAGCGUGAGUGACGGUAACGGGUAAAGAAGCACCGGCUAACUACGUG
RNAcentral lists this ribosomal RNA (468 nucleotides) under uncultured bacterium. RNAcentral describes it as "partial 16S ribosomal RNA". It matches the Rfam family "Bacterial small subunit ribosomal RNA", at positions 28 to 507 of the family's 1533-position model. The record is from RNAcentral.